Molecule: ribosomal RNA, 225 nt
Filed under: Clavariaceae sp.
Lineage: Eukaryota; Fungi; Basidiomycota; Agaricomycetes; Agaricales; Clavariaceae
Description: partial large subunit ribosomal RNA
Source: RNAcentral
AAACGCUUGAAGUCAGUCGUGUCUUUCAGGGAUCAAGUUGCCCUUUGGGUGACCGCACUUCCUGUUGGAUGGGUCAGCAUCAAUUUUGACCGUUGGAUAAAGGCCUAGGUAAUGUGGCAUCUUCGGAUGUGUUAUAGACCUGGGUUGGAUACAACGAUUGGGAUUGAGGAACUCGGUGUGCCUUCGUGGUUGCACUCAGGAUGCUGGCAUAAUGGCUUUAAUCGA